RNA transcript from Papaver somniferum (opium poppy), 3319 nucleotides. It is a transcript of the gene named calmodulin-binding transcription activator CBT-like, with no coding region annotated. The transcript has 8 exons. The record is from RefSeq and is a predicted model, not a curated record. Lineage: Eukaryota; Viridiplantae; Streptophyta; Magnoliopsida; Ranunculales; Papaveraceae.
UUUUCAAGGAAUAACGUGUUCAAAAAUCUGUUACCAUAAAAUUGUGGAAAUUUAUGGCCUCCCAACCAAACUGAUUCCAUGAAUUAUUUCCUGUCGAUGCUAUCAAGCACACCCUAAGAAUAAAGGCACAUCUAUUACCUUCAUUAAUUAUGAUCAUCAAAUCCCAUGGCUUACUUAAGAAAACGAGCGUAACUAUCACCUUCCUUAAUUACGAUCAAAGGGGUACAUCCCCUUGUGUAAAAGUUGCUUUUAUCUGUAAGAGUUUAAGAAAUAAAAGUAUCUAGGGUUUAUGGUUUGCGACGAAGAGAUCGAAUUGUGAAAAUAGGAGCAUCAGAAGAAGAAUCUGGUAAAGAAGGUUUCAUUUCUACAUUGAUUUCGCGAUGGAGGAUAGGAAUUAUCAGGGGAUGAAAACCGGUAGAAGUUAUCAUGUUGUGGAACUUGAGAAGGGUAUCAAAUCUGAAAUCCCAGUGUAUCGAUACAACAAUCAUCGUCAAAUCAAGUGUGCUUUUCACAUUGAGGAGUUACAUAUUACAAAUAUAUUUGAAAAUGAAGAAGAAGAUGCAGAUGCAGGAGAAGCAGUCGUUGAUGUAUUAGGUUGUUUCCGUAGAGAAUUUCCAGACCUUGCAAUUGAUACUACCGUUUACUUCGUCUAUGGGGAUAUAGUUGUUCCUGCAAAAAGUGGGAUGGAAUCAGUAUAUGAAGCUACAAUCCUUCCUAAUCUCCCCGGAGGUGUUAAAUUCUUUGUGAUGGCGUAAAAGCUGCCAGCCAAGUCAUGAAGUUCCGAUUUCCAUCUAAACCUGCUAGGUCAGAAGCCGAGAGAGAACUCGAAGAAAGACUAGCUCAUCUCCUGCUGUUCAACAAGGAAGACCAUCAAGAAUCGCUAUCUAGAUUGAAACAAUGUGAUAACAAGGAUACCCAUACUGAAAUAGUUCUCAGGGAGUGUCUGCAAGAAUGGAUAUUUGAUGAUCGUAAGAGUGCAUACUCACUUGAUGACGAAGGAUGCGGAGUUAUCCAUCUCGUUGCUUCUCUGGGAUAUGCAUGGGCCAUUGGGAUUCUCGGACUGCUCCAGUUCAUAUUAGAUUUCAAAGCCGCAUUCGGAUGGACUCGGCUGCGUUCCAUGGCAGGAGAGGAGUGGUUACAGCACUUUUGGUUGGUGGUGCAGACCCUGCUUUAUGUACUGAACAGGACACCAAAUGCUUCCCUAGUGGAUGCACCGCAGCUGACAUCUCUGCCAGGAGUGGCCAUGACCUUCUUGCUGCUUAUUUGCAAGAGGUAAGGUUAGAACCCUCGAAGAUUCUGAGGUUACCUCCUCCUGUCCGGAAAGAAGAACCAAGGUAUUUGUACACAUAUAGGAGAUAUCUUAGUACAAAUCGUCAAGGGUUGUUGAAAGCUGAGGGAACUCAUCAUCCAGUAGAAUUUGAGAAAGGUUUGAAGUCUGAUGUAACCGUGUAUGAAUCUGAUAAUCAUCAUCAACAGAACUGUCCGUUUCACAUAUUGCAGUUGUAUAUUGAUAUGGAUCACGAUUCUCAAGAACCACUUGUUAAGGUAUUUGGGGAAUUUCUGGAGGAUAAUUUACCUCCUAAUGAAGCAAAUCCUCUAUUUGUAUUUGGUGAUUUAGUGGUUUCUGCAGAACGUGUGUCUGAAGGUCUGUAUAAGUCUAUUUUCCUUCCUAAUCUACCUGGUGGGUACGAUUUUUAUGUGAGUCUUUAUGGUAUUACUCCAAUUAGCCAAAUUCUGAAAAUUGAGUGCCCAUCUAGAACUAAGAAAAUGUCGGAUAUCGAGGUAUGCCUUUUUAAAAGGUUAGCUAAAUUGCUGGUGGCGAACGAUGAUAACCUUAAAUGUUUGAGCACUAAGUUUGGAGAACGUAAUAUGAAGAAGUUACCUAACGAAGUUGUUAUGAGGGAACUUGUUAAACAAUGGAUAUUUGAAGGUUGCAAAAUAGGCAUGGCUCUUGAUGAGCAAGGUCAGGGAGUUCUACAUCUUGUUGCUAGUUUGGGAUUUGAUUGGGCUAUCGCACUAUAUGCACGCAACGGAUUCCCUGUAGAUUAUGAAGAUGCCUUUGGCUGGACAGCAUUGCACUGGGCAGCUUAUUACGGGAGGAAAGAAGCAGCUAUGGCACUGUUGAUAUCAGGGACUGAUCCAUCUGUACUUACUAAGCCAACUACUGAGUACCCCAAUGCAAGCAAGGCUGCUGAUAUCGCUCGUAGCUGUGGCCAUGAUGAUGUUGCUGUUUAUCUGGAAAAGGGAUCAAAAGUUCAACGAAAGCGUAUGCACCCACUUGCAAAAAGAGGCAAGAGUUCCUUGAACUGAAGUUAGCCUGUGUGUCAGCAAAUCCAGAAUUUGAGUAUAUUAUACGUGCAACAACUGAAUUUUGAGAACUUACUCAUCUCUGGAGAGCAAUGACAGCUGGAGGUUUAUGUAGGGGGUCCUAUAAUCCAACUAGUAGCGGUAGGUAAUUGUGCUAUAAGAGGUGGGCAGGGCCUGUUAUUGAUCCAGGUAAAGGUAUUAUUGCCCAAGCGUGACUCAUUUCUUAUCUCGAUAAUAAAACUGUAAAGUAGUGACUGGGUGGCAUAUCUAAUCUAAAUAUCUACCUUCCAAAAUCAAAAAUCUAUCCAUGCCUCAGUGGUUUCAUUUGCAGAGUAUGAAGAUGAGAGAAAAGGAGAGGCAGGAAGGUAAAAGGUUAAGGGGCUAAAAUUAUAGUUCACCAAUUUCACUAGUUUAGUCCAUCACGUCCAGAAAAAAUUUCCGCGACUUUUGGUCGCCCUUGCUGUUUCACGGUAAUAUUUUUUUGAACACCCCUUAAUUUGAAAACCUGGCUCCGCCACUGGAAUGUAGGAAGGAAUUGAAAUGUCAAAAAAGUUUAUCGGAUUAUUAUCUGAUGCCUUGUUAACUAGUUGCUCAAUGGGCUAACUUUUUUUUUGUGAAUUGGUUAUAUAUCGAAAGAGAAAACUGAAAACUAGGAAUCGACAGACUUACAAUAUUAAGUGUUGGUGAUUGUUUCCGUUCAAGGAGGUUGACGCCCUAAUGUUACCACCGUUUAGGUACUCUCAUAUUCAUGUCGUAUUUAUUAGCAAAGCAGGAAGUAACCGCGGGACCUCAUUGAUGGGACGAACCUCUUGACUUUCAAUCGCCCACCGGAGCUGACAGACCAAGCUAUGUUUCAUUUUGGAUAAGUUGUAACAUGUUUUUAUUAUUUUUCCCUUCUUGUUAUUUUUGGGUUAUGGCCAGGUCCCCUCGUUCCUUUUUACCCGUUUUGACGCAUACCAUUUUUUUUUGGGAGGCAUGGCCAAUGCUUACCCUAACUAGUGUAUGUUGAGUA